UGCUAACAAAGAAUUUAACCCACCCAGCUACAAUAAAUUCAAGAAAAUAUGGGAUAUAUUAAUAGGCAGAUCCUCUAAAACGUUCAAAACAAAGCUUUAAGCACCAGAAGAAAAAAUGGUAAAUCUGAGGAAUGUGUUAACUGGAAAGCAAAAGGAAUAAGAAUUUAGAGAAAACACAGAUCCACAGAACAUCAGACCUUUGCAUUAAUCUUCAAGAGAAGAUUAGUCAAAUAUUGGUCAUUGACCCUUUGAGGGGCGGAGCACUGGGUGACAAUUCCAAAAUCAGCAAGAUUUUUCUUCUUCCAAGGA
RNAcentral lists this unclassified non-coding RNA (309 nucleotides) under Hevea brasiliensis (rubber tree). Lineage: Eukaryota; Viridiplantae; Streptophyta; Magnoliopsida; Malpighiales; Euphorbiaceae. The record is from RNAcentral.